This 253-nucleotide ribosomal RNA is filed under the name uncultured bacterium. RNAcentral describes it as "partial 16S ribosomal RNA". It matches the Rfam family "Bacterial small subunit ribosomal RNA", at positions 524 to 776 of the family's 1533-position model. The record is from RNAcentral.
UACGUAGGGGGCAAGCGUUGUUCGGAAUUACUGGGCGUAAAGGGCUCGUAGGCGGCACGGCAAGUCAGGAGUGAAAGCCCGGGGCUCAACCCCGGAAUGUCUUUUGAAACUGCCGAGCUAGAGUGCGGAAGAGGCAACUGGAAUUCCCAGUGUAGCGGUGAAAUGCGUAGAUAUUGGGAAGAACACCUGAGGCGAAGGCGGGUUGCUGGGCCGACACUGACGCUGAUGCGCGAAAGCCAGGGGAGCGAACGGG